This 799-nucleotide ribosomal RNA is filed under the name uncultured Bacillus sp. RNAcentral's name for it is "bacterial SSU rRNA". It matches the Rfam family "Bacterial small subunit ribosomal RNA", at positions 1 to 783 of the family's 1533-position model. The record is from RNAcentral. Lineage: Bacteria; Bacillati; Bacillota; Bacilli; Caryophanales; Bacillaceae.
UAGAUUAGAGUUUGAUCAUGGCUCAGGACGAACGCUGGCGGCGUGCCUAAUACAUGCAAGUCGAGCGGACAGAUGGGAGCUUGCUCCCUGAAGUCAGCGGCGGACGGGUGAGUAACACGUGGGCAACCUGCCUGUAAGACUGGGAUAACUUCGGGAAACCGGAGCUAAUACCGGAUAACACCGAGGACCUCAUGGUCCUUGGUUGAAAGAUGGCUUCGGCUAUCACUUACAGAUGGGCCCGCGGCGCAUUAGCUAGUUGGUGAGGUAACGGCUCACCAAGGCGACGAUGCGUAGCCGACCUGAGAGGGUGAUCGGCCACACUGGGACUGAGACACGGCCCAGACUCCUACGGGAGGCAGCAGUAGGGAAUCUUCCGCAAUGGACGAAAGUCUGACGGAGCAACGCCGCGUGAGCGAUGAGGGCCUUCGGGUCGUAAAGCUCUGUUGUUAGGGAAGAACAAGUACCGUUCGAAUAGGGCGGUACCUUGACGGUACCUAACCAGAAAGCCACGGCUAACUACGUGCCAGCAGCCGCGGUAAUACGUAGGUGGCAAGCGUUGUCCGGAAUUAUUGGGCGUAAAGCGCGCGCAGGCGGUUCCUUAAGUCUGAUGUGAAAGCCCACGGCUCAACCGUGGAGGGUCAUUGGAAACUGGGGAACUUGAGUGCAGAAGAGGAAAGCGGAAUUCCACGUGUAGCGGUGAAAUGCGUAGAGAUGUGGAGGAACACCAGUGGCGAAGGCGGCUUUCUGGUCUGUAACUGACGCUGAGGCGCGAAAGCGUGGGGAGCAAACAGGAUUAGAU